RNAcentral lists this ribosomal RNA (497 nucleotides) under uncultured bacterium. RNAcentral describes it as "partial 16S ribosomal RNA". It matches the Rfam family "Bacterial small subunit ribosomal RNA", at positions 28 to 507 of the family's 1533-position model. The record is from RNAcentral.
GAUGAACGCUGGCGGCGUGCCUAAUACAUGCAAGUCGAGCGAACGGACGAGAAGCUUGCUUCUCUGAUGUUAGCGGCGGACGGGUGAGUAACACGUGGAUAACCUACCUAUAAGACUGGGAUAACUUCGGGAAACCGGAUCUAAUACCGGAUAAUAUUUUGAACCGCAUGGUUCAAAAGUGAAAGACGGUCUUGCUGUCACUUAUAGAUGGAUCCGCGCUGCAUUAGCUAGUUGGUAAGGUAACGGCUUACCAAGGCAACGAUGCAUAGCCGACCUGAGAGGGUGAUCAGCCACACUGGAACUGAGACACGGUCCAGACUCCUACGGGAGGCAGCAGUAGGGAAUCUUGCGCAAUGGGCGAAAGCCUGACGGAGCAACGCCGCGUGAGUGAUGAAGGUCUUCGGAUCGUAAAACUCUGUUAUUAGGGAAGAACAUAUGUGUAAGUAACUGUGCACAUCUUGACGGUACCUAAUCAGAAAGCCACGGCUAACUACGUG